RNAcentral lists this ribosomal RNA (527 nucleotides) under uncultured bacterium. RNAcentral's name for it is "bacterial SSU rRNA". It matches the Rfam family "Bacterial small subunit ribosomal RNA", at positions 20 to 518 of the family's 1533-position model. The record is from RNAcentral.
GGCGUCAGGACGAACGCUGGCGGCGUGCCUAAUACAUGCAAGUCGAACGGCUUUUCUAUGGAAGCUUGCUUCCACUGAGAAGAUAGUGGCGAACGGGUGAGUAACACGUGGGUAACCUGCCCAUAAGAGGGGGAUAACAUCCGGAAACGGGUGCUAAUACCGCAUAGUUUUCUUGAUCGCAUGAUCGGGAAAGGAAAGACGGCCUUUGUGCUGUCGCUUAUGGAUGGACCCGCGGCGUAUUAGUUAGUUGGUGAGGUAACGGCUCACCAAGACGAUGAUACGUAGCCGACCUGAGAGGGUGAUCGGCCACAUUGGGACUGAGACACGGCCCAAACUCCUACGGGAGGCAGCAGUAGGGAAUCUUCCGCAAUGGACGAAAGUCUGACGGAGCAACGCCGCGUGAGUGAAGAAAAGGGUUUUCGGAUCGUAAAACUCUGUUGUCAGAGAAGAACAAGUUGGAGAGUAACUGCUCCAGCCUUGACGGUAUCUGACCAGAAAGCCACGGCUAACUACGUGCCAGCAGCCGC